Molecule: small nucleolar RNA, 134 nt
Filed under: Zalophus californianus (California sea lion)
Lineage: Eukaryota; Metazoa; Chordata; Mammalia; Carnivora; Otariidae
Description: Small nucleolar RNA SNORA22 (ENSZCAG00015019108.1)
Rfam family: Small nucleolar RNA SNORA22
About the family: ACA22 is a member of the H/ACA class of snoRNA that guide the sites of modification of uridines to pseudouridines.
Source: RNAcentral
UUGCACAGUGAACACCCAAGUGUGCUUUAUAGUUCCCUUGGCUUUGAUUCUGUGCUAGAGUAAUGUCUGCUCUUUUCCUCUGCAUUGAAAGGAUUAUUUAUCCUUUUAAAUGUAUUCAAAAAAUCAGCACAUUA